RNAcentral lists this ribosomal RNA (381 nucleotides) under uncultured bacterium. RNAcentral's name for it is "bacterial SSU rRNA". It matches the Rfam family "Bacterial small subunit ribosomal RNA", at positions 350 to 751 of the family's 1533-position model. The record is from RNAcentral.
AGACUCGUACAAUAUUGGACAAUGGGCGCUUGCCUGUUCCGGCAAUGCCGCGUGUGUGAAGAAGGUCUUCGGAUUGAGAAGGCUUUCCACGGGAAAGAUCUUUUGGUACCCGUAGACGAUGCCCCGGCUAAUUUCUUGCCAAUGACGCGGUAAUACGAAUAGGGGCUAGCUAUGUUCGCAAUGACUGCCCGUAUAAUGCGCAUAGGCGGCUCGUACAUCAGAUGAGAAAUUCCCGGGCUUGCGCUGGGGGCUGUGUUGAUUGUCGUGGGCGCUACUGUCCAAAAUGGGGUGUAAUUCCCAGUGUAGAAGUGAUAUUCUUAUAUAUUGGGGAGUACAAUUCGUCGUGAAGCAGACGACCUGCGCUCAUGACUGACGAUUAUC